UUCCGGGCGAUCUUGCCGGAGGCNACCGCCAGCGAGGCCCGACNAAGCCACGCGAGACGAAAGCCGCAAGGCAUGGCGCACUGCACAGNAACACGNGGACAACCNACCCNNAGGACNGGGANAACCCCGGGAAACGGGGAANAAACCCCGAAAGACCACGAAGGCNGGAACGCAACGAGGGCGAAAGCCCCGGCGCCNAAGGAAGGGACCGCGGCCGACCAGGNAGAAGCGGGCGCAGCGCACCCACCAGCCNACGACGGGNACGGGNGGCGAGAGCAAGAGCCCGGAGAAGGANUCAGAGACACGAAUCCAGGCCCUACGGGGUGCAGCAGGCGCGAAAACUUUACAAUGCUGGCAACAGCGAUAAGGGAACCUCGAGUGCCAGGUUACAAAUCUGGCUGUCGAGAUGCCUAAAAAGCAUUUCAUAUCAAGGGCCGGGCAAGACCGGUGCCAGCCGCCGCGGUAACACCGGCGGCUCGAGUGGUAACCGUUAUUAUUGGGUCUAAAGGGUCUGUAGCCGGCCGGAUAAUUCUCUUGGGA
This 540-nucleotide ribosomal RNA is filed under the name uncultured archaeon. Its description in RNAcentral is "partial 16S ribosomal RNA". It matches the Rfam family "Archaeal small subunit ribosomal RNA", at positions 1 to 547 of the family's 1478-position model. The record is from RNAcentral.